CAACUUGGGAAGGUCUUUUACCAGGUAAACACAUGCAUGUAAUAUAAAGUGUUAUUAAUUAUAUCUAAGCCAAAACUAUCAACUAAAAAAAAAAAAAACGUUUUGCAGUGGUUCAAAAUACCAGCCACCACUUGUAUUGAGCAAGAAGAUGACCUAUCUCUUGAGGAGUCAGUGUACAUUAUCAGAGAACUGGCUGCUGAACUGGACAGAGUGGUACAGGUAAACAUUUGGCAUUACAAAAUGAAUUUAAUAUGAAUUUAUCAGAAGUUCAAAUGAUCUACAUUAUGCCCACAGUCCAAGAAGUUAUCCUUGAUGACUCGAAAGAUUAAAAAUAAAGGAAGUAACAAAGAACAUGAAGAACAACAGUAUUAUAUUUUGCAGUGGGCAAAAGAUCUUGAGAACAUAAAGACAAAACAAAUGGACAAGAAAGAGACCUCCUCUGAGCAGUUUAACAAAGCAAAAAAAAUCUUGUCUGACUGGUUUUGGAAACUGAAAGAUUUGAAACAGAACUCAGUAUGUCCAAAGGGGGGAUGGGAAGAAACACUGAGGGAUCUUCACAAAGAGUGGAAGCAGGGAGAGUCCAGCAUGCUUCCAGUAAUGGACUGGAUGGUAUGGGCUGUUCUACAGUCAGAAUGCUCUGAGGUAAAGAAUACAAAAGUUGAUCUUAUAAUGAAAUUUAAAGUUGAAGAAACCAAAAGAUACAAGUAUGCCUGUAUAACUGUAGUCCAU
This 729-nucleotide long non-coding RNA is filed under the name Sinocyclocheilus grahami. Its description in RNAcentral is "lncRNA (ENSSGRG00000009133.1)". The record is from RNAcentral. Lineage: Eukaryota; Metazoa; Chordata; Actinopteri; Cypriniformes; Cyprinidae.